This is a small nuclear RNA of Saimiri boliviensis boliviensis (Bolivian squirrel monkey), 107 nucleotides long. The record is from Ensembl. NCBI's taxonomy places the organism in Eukaryota, Metazoa, Chordata, Mammalia, Primates, Cebidae.
GCUGUGCUUGCUUUGGCAGCAUAUGCUAAGACUGGAACGAUACAGAGAAGAUUGGCAUGUCCCUGCACUAUGAUGGCAUGCAAAUUUGUGAAGCGUCCUAUAUAAAA